GACGAACGCUGGCGGCGUGCCUAACACAUGCAAGUCGAACGGGGAGUUAUUUAUAACUCCUAGUGGCGAACGGGUGAGUAACGCGUAGACAACCUGCCUCUAAAUUGGGGACAACACCGCGAAAGUGGUGCUAAUACCGAAUGUGGUAACUUGGUCGCAUGAUUAGGUUAAGAAAGAUGGCCUCUAUAUAUAAGCUAUCGAUUAGAGAUGGGUCUGCGUCUGAUUAGCUAGUUGGUGAGGUAAUGGCUCACCAAGGCGACGAUCAGUAGCCGGUCUGAAAGGAUGAACGGCCACACUGGGACUGAGACACGGCCCAGACUCCUACGGGAGGCAGCAGUGGGGAAUCUUCCGCAAUGGACGAAAGUCUGACGGAGCAACGCCGCGUGAGUGAAGAAGGUCUUCGGAUUGUAAAGCUCUGUCGUUUGGGACGAACGUGGAUUGUGUGAAUAAUGCAGUCUAAUGACGGUACCAAAGGAGGAAGCCACGGCUAACUACGUGCCAGCCGCCGCGGUAA
RNAcentral lists this ribosomal RNA (514 nucleotides) under uncultured bacterium. Its description in RNAcentral is "partial 16S ribosomal RNA". It matches the Rfam family "Bacterial small subunit ribosomal RNA", at positions 28 to 523 of the family's 1533-position model. The record is from RNAcentral.